AAGAGGGGGCUAAAUGCAGUCGUGCGAGAAAGGGGGGCAACCCCCUGAGUAAAGCGGCGCACGCGGUGAGUAACACGUAGGUAAUCUCCCCUCGAGCCUGGAAUAACCUACCGAAAGGUGGGCUAAUACCGGAUAUGACCACGGAAGUUUCGGCUUCUGCGGUGAAAGAUGGCCUCUAUUUAUAAGCUAUCACUCAAGGAUGAGCCUGCGUGCCAUUAGCUAGUUGGUGGGGUAAUGGCCCACCAAGGCUAUGAUGGCUAGCUGGUCUGAGAGGAUGGCCAGCCACACUGGGACUGAAACACGGCCCAGACUCCUACGGGAGGCAGCAGUGGGGGAUAUUGCGCAAUGGGCGAAAGCCUGACGCAGCGACGCCGCGUGGGUGAUGAAGGCCUUCGGGUCGUAAAGCCCUGUCGAGGGGAAAGAAUCGGUUGCGACCUAAUACGUCGUGAUCCUGACGGUACCCCUAAAGGAAGCACCGGCUAACUCCGUGCCAGCAGCCGCGGUAAUACGGAGGGUGCGAGCGUUGUUCGGAAUCACUGGGCGUAAAGCGCGUGUAGGCGGCCCACUAAGUCUGAUGUGAAAGCCCGGGGCUCACCCCCGGAAGUGCAUUGGAAACUGGUGGACUCGAGUCCCGGAGAGGAGAGUGGAAUUCCUGGUGUAGCGGUGAAAUGCGUAGAUAUCAGGAGGAACACCGGUGGCGAAGGCGGCUCUCUGGACGGUGACUGACGCUGAGACGCGAAAGCGUGGGGAGCAAACAGGAUUAGAUACCCUGGUAGUCCACGCCGUANACGAUGAGCACUAGGUGUCGCGGGUAUUGACCCCUGCGGUGCCGACGCUAACGCAUUAAGUGCU
Molecule: ribosomal RNA, 852 nt
Filed under: uncultured bacterium
Lineage: Bacteria
Description: bacterial SSU rRNA
Rfam family: Bacterial small subunit ribosomal RNA
Source: RNAcentral